AAAUUGAAGAGUUUGAUCAUGGCUCAGAUUGAACGCUGGCGGCAGGCCUAACACAUGCAAGUCGAACGGUAACAGGAAGCAGCUUGCUGCUUCGCUGACGAGUGGCGGACGGGUGAGUAAUGUCUGGGAAACUGCCUGAUGGAGGGGGAUAACUACUGGAAACGGUGGCUAAUACCGCAUAACGUCGCAAGACCAAAGAGGGGGACCUUCGGGCCUCUUGCCAUCAGAUGUGCCCAGAUGGGAUUAGCUUGUUGGUGAGGUAACGGCUCACCAAGGCGACGAUCCCUAGCUGGUCUGAGAGGAUGACCAGCCACACUGGAACUGAGACACGGUCCAGACUCCUACGGGAGGCAGCAGUGGGGAAUAUUGCACAAUGGGCGCAAGCCUGAUGCAGCCA
Molecule: ribosomal RNA, 397 nt
Filed under: Salmonella enterica
Lineage: Bacteria; Pseudomonadati; Pseudomonadota; Gammaproteobacteria; Enterobacterales; Enterobacteriaceae
Also listed under: 1 other name
Description: bacterial SSU rRNA
Rfam family: Bacterial small subunit ribosomal RNA
Source: RNAcentral